This 237-nucleotide ribosomal RNA is filed under the name uncultured bacterium. RNAcentral's name for it is "partial 16S ribosomal RNA". It matches the Rfam family "Bacterial small subunit ribosomal RNA", at positions 15 to 248 of the family's 1533-position model. The record is from RNAcentral.
GAUCCUGGCUCAGGAUGAACGCUAGCGACAGGCUUAACACGUGCAAGUCGAGGGGCAGCAUGAGGUAGCAAUACCUUGAUGGCGACCGGCGCACGGGUGAGUAACGCGUAUGCAACCUGCCCGAUACCGGGGUAUAGCCCAUGGAAACGUGGAUUAACACCCCAUAGUACUUUUAUCCUGCAUGGGAUGUGAGUUAAAUGUUCAAGGUAUCGGAUGGGCAUGCGUCCUAUUAGUUAG